UAGGGAGGUGAUGGGUAAGGGCUUGAGUUUUGGGGUUGCACAGCUUGUGGGGACCCCACCUCAUUUCCUAGCUAGGCAGACCUGGCCCAGUGUCUGACCUUUCCCAUCUGUAAAUUAGGGGUGCAAAUAGCAUCCACCUCCGGGGUGUGGUGAAGGUGGAGCCAGUACCCAGCCAGUCCAGCUCUUUUUUGUUAGGAUUGCCCCACUGCGGCCACACCCUUCCAUCUGCCCGCUCCUGUUCCCGCAGGUAGACUCAGCCUGUGGGAUUCUGGCCUGGCUUCCCGGCAGCAAGCAGGAGCUUCAGAUGCUCAUUCCCGCCGCGGUCGGCUGUGGCGGCGACUCAUACCCGUUUCCGCUCGAAUGAUGCCAGCUGUCCUGCUGCGCCACCUUCCUCUGUCCUCGCAUCCGCUGAUGGGAUUUCCGGUCGCUUCCACUUUGUGGCUCUUUUGAAGAAUGCCGCUAGGAACAUUCACACGCAGGUUUUUGGUGUGGACGUUCUUGGCCAUAAAAUAUGGCUUUUGGAAAAAUAAAGCUGAGACUUGGAGUUCACGGUGGGGGCUCCCCCAUCUGUGAACAGAAGCAGAAGUUUGGAACUGCCUUCUUUACUGCUCGAGAGGGAAAACUUGAGUGAAAACCAGGAUGCUGGCGAAUGUUGAGUAGCUAAGCUGCACAGGAAAUACCACUUGAUGACCUGCGAUCUGGGGAAGCCGCGCCAGGGCUCUGCGAAGCUGCGGACGAGGGAGGCGUCAGUGUGGGGGCUGCAGCUCAGCUCCGGGGGGGACGCGCCUUUCUCCACGGGACCUGGGGCUCAGGUGCUCACGAGGCUGGGGCGCUGCAGGCCACCCGCAGGGGAAACUGAGGCCCUCCAUUUUGUGGGGCUGGAAGACCUUUCCUUCCAAAAGCAGGUGUAGGCGGGAGCACCUGUGCAGUCCCUCUGUUCAGAUCCUCACCCACUUUUAAAUCAGGAAACAGCAGAUGAAAUGCACAGUGUGAAGGACAAGGAUUCUGCUGAGAGAAUUGCUCCGAGGGUUGCUCAAGUGAUCAUGGGAAAUAAUGCAUCAAACCAUUCUUUAGAUGCAGCUCAGGUGUGCCUUUUCUUCGCCUGUGCCCAUCCACCUGAGAUGGACCAUAACCAUAAAAGUCAGAAGGCACUGACCCUUCAGGACGUGACAGGGUUAAAAGAUGCUGGAGGGAAAGUCUGUCAUUGACUUUUAUUCACUUCCUUUCUCCAUUCUGCCAUUUGGAAGAAGGCUGGAGUGCAAUGGCGCGAUCUCGGCUCACUGCAACUUCCGCCUCCCAGGUUCAAGUGAAUCUCCUGCCUCAGCCUUCCGAGUAGCUGGGACUACAGGCACGUGCCACCAUGCCCAGCUAAUUUUUGUAUUUUUAGUAGAGAUGGGGUUUCACCAUGUUGGCCAGGAUGGUCUUGAUCUCUUGACCUCAUGAUCUGCCCGCCUCAGCCUCCUAGAGUGCUGAGAUUACAGGCGUGAGCCCCCGUGCCUGGCCUUGAAUGGGAUUAGUGUUUUAAAGAGGCCUGAGAGAGACUCCUGGCCACUUUUGCCUUAUGAGGACACAGUGGAAAGGUCCCAUCCCUGAACCAGGAAAUGGGCACUUACCAGACACUGAAUCUGCCUGCAGCUUGACCUUGAACUUCCCAGCCUCCAGAACUCUGAGGAAUAAAUUUCUGUUAUGUGAUAAGCCAUUCAGUCUGUGGUAUUUUGUUAUACCAGCCCAAACGGACUAAGACACAGAACAUAGCCUGUGCCUCUUCCAGUUUCUUCAGGAUCCUUCUGGGCUCAGAGAAUGGAGCUAAGAGGAAGAUUCUACCAUUAGGGCUGGUCUUCACCUGUCUCUUAAGACUGAUGGGCUCCCCAUUUGAAUGACAUUGAUCAACCCGACAUUAACCCAUUGGGUAUGGCUGGGGCAGCUCCUCUUAUCUGUGAGGUGGGAACCAGGUUGGUAAUGUUGCAUCCUGUUAGCCAGGUUCCUAGUUCAGUUUAGCUGUUGUGCAGGUCAAGGACUCUUAAGGAUUGAAUUGCAUCCCUUCAAAAGAUAUUGAAGUCCUAACCCCCAGAAUCGGUGACUGUGACCUUAUUUGGAAAUGGGUCUUUGCAGACACAAUCAAGUUAAGAUGAGGUCAUAUUGGAUUAAAGUGGUGUGUAAUUCAAUAGAUGAUCUCUUUAAUGAAAAGGGAAAUUUGUACUGAGAAACACAGAGGGAAAUGCUAUGUGAAGAUGGAGGCAGAGAUUGGAGUGAUUUGGAGCAAUGUGUAUGUCUGCAAGCCAAGGAACACCAAGUAUUGCCAGCCAUCACCAGAGCUGGAGGAGGGGCCUGGAACAGAUUCCCACUAGAGCCCCCAAAAGGAUCCAACCCUGCUGACACUUUGACUUUGGAGUUGUGGCCUUCAGAACUGUGAGAGAAUUAAUUUGUGUUGUUUUGAGCCACUCAGAGUGUGGUAUUUUGUUAUAGAAGUCCUUGGAUACUAAUAAAGACAUUAAUAGCC
Molecule: long non-coding RNA, 2500 nt
Filed under: Homo sapiens (human)
Lineage: Eukaryota; Metazoa; Chordata; Mammalia; Primates; Hominidae
Description: LHRI_LNC1020.1
Source: RNAcentral